Molecule: ribosomal RNA, 774 nt
Filed under: uncultured Neocallimastigales
Lineage: Eukaryota; Fungi; Neocallimastigomycota; Neocallimastigomycetes; Neocallimastigales
Description: partial large subunit ribosomal RNA
Rfam family: Eukaryotic large subunit ribosomal RNA
Source: RNAcentral
GUACACGCUGUGACUAGCAUAUCAAUAAGCGGAGGAAAAGAAACUAACAAGGAUUCCCCUAGUAACGGCGAGUGAAGCGGGAAGAGCUCAAAUUUGAAAUCUUAAAGGGUUUCCCUUUACGAAUUGUAGUUUAAAGAAGUGUUUUCUGUUGAGGUUUUGGUAAAAGUUCUUUGGAAUAGGACAUCAUAGAGGGUGAGAAUCCCGUAUUUGACCUUUACUUUCAACUUUGUGAUGCACUUUCAAAGAGUCGGAUUGUUUGGGAAUGCAGUCCAAAAUGGGUGGUAAAUUUCAUCUAAAGCUAAAUAUUGGCGAGAGACCGAUAGCGAACAAGUACCGUGAGGGAAAGAUGAAAAGAACUUUGAAAAGAGAGUUAAACAGUACGUGAAAUUGUCAAAAGGGAAGCGUUUGACACCAGCGUUGUUUUUCUGAAAAUCAAUUAAAGAACUGUUUAUGCUAAGUUGUUUAGACUUUAUCAGCUAUCUGCUUAGUUUUGAGCUUUUCUUUAAUGCACUUUUCAGUUAACAAGUCAACAUCAAUUUCUUUUGCUGUAAAAAAGCUUGAGGAAGGUGGCUUGAGAUUCGUCUUAAGUGUUUAUAGCCUCUUGCCUAUGCAGUCGGAGAGAUUGAGGUCUGCAGCGUAGAUCCUUCGGGGCUAAAUGCAUUUGUGCUAAGUUAUAACAUUUCAUAGACAACUUGUUGACUAUGAUUUGUCUUGUAGCUUACUCGCUUAUGUUAUUUUACCUACGCUUAGGAUGUUGACGAGACUGUCGAUCUC